AUAACUUUGGUCCUUAUAUAUUCUAUUAUUAAAAGAACCUCCAAGAGGCCUCUUGGUCUAGGGGUAUGAUUCCUGCUUUGGGUGCAGGAGGUCCCGGGUUCAAAUCCCGGAGGGGCCCAAUUUUUUUUUCCUCUUUGAAAUUGAACUACGAAACUAAACGUCUUAAAUAUUUCAUAAAACAGACGUCUAUAAAACUUUUGACGUAUUUCAGAGUUAGAAACAAUCAACAACAAGUAUUACAAACAAAUUACGCUGAGUAGUAUAAACAGUUGUGAUUUCAUUAAUUACGAAACUAGCUAUAACGUAAUAAAGCAUGUUUACUCGAUUCGUUACAAUUUUUUCCCACAGUUACGUAAUAUUCCAUUAAAUUUUAUAAUCAAAAAUAAGGUUUGCACAAUUGACACGUAAAUAACUAAUUAUUUUUAAACGAACAUGUCCUGGUACAUAUAGCAAUGUCGAUAUUCGAAUUUGUAAUUCUUCAAGCAUUAAUUUACCUGAUGCUAUUUUAAUAUCGGACGCUUAUUAAUAACUUAAGAGUAUUCAUUACGUUCACCAAAUGAAAAGUGUUAAAAACGUCGUAAACGUCCUUGUAUGACCGUAAACACUAACAAAAUGGACAUGUUUUCUCCAUAAAUGUGUUUGGAAUUUUAAAAAAUGAAAAAAUUGUUAUCAACAAAUAAAUACGAAUAAAGAAAUCGGUCGUGUCAGAUAUUCCGUUUCAAAUUACGCGCGGCGUAUUUUCCUACUCUCGAGAAAGUUAAGAUGGCGUCCAGGCGAGUGCGCAUGCACAAGUUCCUCAAUGGUCGGGCAAAAACACAGCUGGUCUAUGAUCUCCGAAGCAAGCUGACGGUCGAACGCUAUCAAUGUGAUUUUCGUGAAAUACUUACCGAUCUACCGGUCAGAUCGUGAGGUCAAGGCGGACGCGUGCGAAAAUUCGUUUAGUGCUCGUUUCGAAGUGUUAGUGAGUGUGUUUAGAUGUAUGCAAAACUCGUUAAUCGCGGUGUCACCACGAGGAUUUUUCACUGCCCCGGAUACAAAGGAGUUUCGUGAGGUGCUUUGAGCGUCCUUUCGGCAACGGAAGCACGAGGCGAAAAAUGUCGGCGUCGGCGCCGUAAUUGGGCGAUCUUGGUAGAAAGGAAGCCGAGGGACGAACGGAAGAGGCGGGUAAGGACGAAAUGGCGUCUACGAGCGGGCACAAGAGGAACGGCUCGAGUUCGAGCAUGUUCACCCACAAACGCACCGAGUCCGGCGGUGGUUUUAUCGGCCACAAACGUUCCGAGAGCGGUCACAAGCGGGCCGAGAGCAUAUCCAGUGCCUUUGGCCACAAACGAUCCGAGAGUGGUCACAAGAGGAACGAGAGCGGCGGUGGUUUCGGGCACAAAAGGUCCGAGUCUGGCAGCAAUUACCAUGCCGGACAUCGAAGAAACGAGAGCAUGUACGCGAUGACAGGGCUUUACGCGGAAAGCACUGGGACAACCACCGACGAAACUACAGACCCAUUGCAGGCUACCGGUACCAGCAGACUGACCCAUGACACUGUCAUUAGGUGUCACAGUAGAAAUCCCAGUUCUGGCCUCGUGGACCAUAGAGAUUUUAUCAUCAAAUGUCACAGCAGGAAUCCCAGUGCUUCCAUGGUGGACAGAACGGAGAAAGAGAGGCCACAAACUCCACCAUUUAAUCCGGAUUCGAAGGACUGUGGAAUUCUGAGCUGCAGGCCGGCCUUUAUACAGAGAUUCGCCGGAAUAAAGGUGUUUGUGUUCCUCCUCUCGUUUCUCGUUACGCUGCAACAAGCACUUAGUUCAGGUUACAUUAAUUCUGUGAUUACGACAAUUGAGAAGAGGUUCGAAAUCCCGUCCAGCCUUUCAGGCGUCAUUGCAAGCUCCUACGAAAUCGGAAAUGUCAUCACCGUCAUUUUCGUCAGCUAUCUAGGUAGCCGCAGGCAUAUACCUGUUUGGAUAGCUAUUGGCGCUGUUAUAAUGGGACUGGGAUCGAUGAUCUUUAUGGUGCCACAUUUCACUGCUGAACCCAAUUUGAUGACGGCCGCAAAUAACUCCAGUUCUGAUAAUAUUUGUCGCGGAGUCUCGUUGCGUGAACAGGACAUGGGAUUGGGUCGUUUAUCGUCUGGAUUAUCAUCUCCUCCUCUGGGUCCGCAUAACAAUUUAAGAGGUGAUAAUUGCAUUCAAGGAUCUCCAUCUACAGCUGGCCCUGUUAUGUUAUUUGUACUUGCUCAGUUAUUAUUAGGCUGUGGUGGUUCUCCUUUGUUUACCCUUGGUACCACUUACAUAGACGAUCAUGUUCGACCAGAAAGUGCUUCUUUGUAUAUUGGUUGUAUGUACAGUAUGGCAGCUUUUGGGCCAGUUUUAGGUUUCCUUCUUGGAGCUUAUUUGUUAUCGUUUCACAUGGAUUCUUUUUCUGGAACUAUCAUCAGCAUAGAUCCAGGUGAUCAUAGAUGGGUUGGCAUGUGGUGGGGAGGAUUCCUUCUUUGCGGUUUACUCCUGAUUUUGGUGGCAAUCCCCUUCUUCAGUUUUCCAAAAACCCUGCAACGAGAAAAGGAAAAAAUACGAAUCAUCGAAAAAACAAAAUCGGCGUCGCAAAAAGAGAAGGAACCAUGCAAAGAACCGAAAAAGGAGAAACUCGAUGAUAGUGGUUACGGCAAAGAUGUAAAAGAUAUUCCUAGAAGUAUGUGGAGGCUCGUGUGCAAUCCAGUAUACGUGGUAACGUGUUUGGGAGCAUGCAUGGAGCUGGUGAUUGUCUCUGGCUUCGUAGUUUUUCUCCCAAAGUACCUGGAGACACAGUUCAGCCUGGGAAAGAGUCAAGCCAGUGUGUUCACCGGCUCGAUAGCGAUACCGGGUGCCUGCAUCGGAAUCUUCUUCGGCGGAUGUUUGCUCAAACGUUUAGAAUUAAGACCAAAGGGAGCGGUUCAGUUCGUUCUCGUAUCGAACAUCAUUUGCUUGGUGUGCUAUGGCCUCCUCUUUUUCCUUGGUUGUGACAACGUGAAGAUGGCUGGGACCACUAUUCCGUACUUUAACAGCAGCACGAAGGGCCCGGAGCCCUUUCAAGUAAAUCUCACUGCCGCAUGCAACUUUGGUUGCGAAUGUCGAAUGACAGACGUCGAACCGGUCUGUGGAAAUAACGGUCUCACGUAUUUCAGCCCUUGUCAUGCAGGCUGCACUGCCUUUAGCUCGAAAUCGAAUUUCACUAAUUGUGCAUGUAUACAUGGAAAUUUAACAUUAUUGCCUCCUGCAGCCCCAGAAUUCGCAGAAGUUACGGUAGUGCCGGUAGCUACUGCUGGUCCUUGCACUUCACCAUGCAGAACUAUAUUUCCUUUCUUAAUCUUACUUUUCUUUAUGACGUUUAUCGUUGCUAUCACUCAGAUGCCUCUAUUAAUGAUAGUGUUGCGGUCAGUCUCGGAAGAAGAGAGAUCGUUCGCUUUGGGCAUGCAAUUCGUAAUCUUCCGACUAUUCGGUUACAUACCCGCUCCUAUUUUAUUCGGUAACUUAAUUGACUCUACGUGCUUAUUGUGGAAAAGCACCUGUGGAGAAAAAGGCGGUCGGUGUCUUCUUUACGACAUCGAGCAAUUUAGAUAUAGAUAUGUUGGACUUUGUGCUGGCAUUAAGAUUUUAGCUUUGGCUUUGUUCCUUAUUGAUUGGUGGUUGGUUAGGAGGAGAAGACAAAUGGAAGACCAAGCGCCGUCUUUCACUGUUAACGAGUUUGUAGGGUCAAUUAUCAGUCUUGACAAAUUGUUUGAAGAAAAACCACACCAUCACAAUACAGGAGACGGUGACGGUGUUACUCCUAAUUCGGAAUUACACACACCGUCAUCGAUCUCGUCACCAACGGAGCCUACGAAAUCGACGAACCUGGAAGAGACUAGCUCGUCGAAUCAAACGCAGGAUUCGACGGAGACAGCGAAUCGAUCGAAGAACGCGACGAUUGUUGAUGUUCCCGACACGAGGCAAGCACCUCUUGCCAUAGAAGAGCCAGAUACGGAGGUGAAACCACUGACUGCUGGACAAACGGAAAAACUUGUACGGAACGUUUAAUGUUUAUCUCGCGUUAGUGGCUAUGCAAUUGAAUAUAUCAAAGUGGUGAUAACACGAGUCUGUGGCUAAUUGUUUUCAGGUGAACUAUCUAUACGUGUUAAAUAGAUAAUGAUCAUGAGUUAUAGAGGUGAUGGACAUUUUCCAAACUUCUUACAGUUAAAGGUCCAACUAUGGUCUAAUUCUGUGUACGCUACUUGUUCACAGGAUAAAAGAUUCUUUAUAACGACAUGCUAACAAUAAGUCAUCUUCUGUACAAGAAUGAAGUGUGAAUUUGAUAGAGUUUUAACGAUUCUCAGUUACAAGGUGGUCUUAUUUUAAUUAUGACACGGUUAAGUUUGAACUGUAUCUCUGAAUACCGUUCACCGAAUUUAGAAUCGCUAAAGGCGAGCUAAAUACUACAUAUCAAUUUUCUUCGUCGGUUCAAUCACACAAGCAGUAAGUAGAUAAAUGUAGAAGCUACCACGAAAACUCAUAAAUAGGAUGCGAAUGUUUAUACAUUUAUGAUAUCUCAAUCUCUCUUCACAAAAUAUCGGAAUCCACAGUCAGUUUGUAUCGUAAAUAAAUAUACAUUCACAGUCGAAUCAUAAGGCAGGAGGAAGGUUAAAGAAAUACCUUUGCCUAUUUAUUUUAGAAUUCUUCGUGUUUACAUCCAAUAUUUUCAUACUAUCUUCUCUAAGUAAGUGACAGUAGUGUUUCUUGUGGAUGGGGUUUUUUUAUUGCAUGACCCCUUACAGCUCUAUACUAUAAAGUAGAAUAAAGUAGUAUAAUAAAGUCUAUACUAUAAAGCCUAUAAAGUCUAUAGUAUCGUAGGAAACUGAAAUAGAGCCACUUUGUAACUUUGUAUCAUUAAAAUUCCGCAUAAUUAUAAUAGUUUCCUUUACAGAAUCUCAGUUCCUUCAGAAUCUAUUAUCCUUUGAAGAAUAGAAUAAGUGAAGUUAGUCUAUACUUGGAGCUUCAACUUUCAGGGUCUUCGUUACUUUUAUAGCUGAGUUCUCUCAUAAAUUAUAGACAAUGUGCAAUAUCGCCCCUAUAAGUCAUAACCAUUAUUUUCUUAACACCUUGUACAACGUACGUUUAUUAUUAACCCUUUGCAAUUUGACUUUUUUAAAUAGCAGAAUUCACUUAUUCUGUAAACUUCGUUAAUUUAUUCUAAUAUAAUUAUUGCAGUGAAUACAAAUUAUAAGAUAAUACAAGUUUGCAUUUUUACUAAAUCUUUCACGAAUUUACAUAUAUUUUAGACUGUGGUAUUAAAUUUGCACUUAAAAGUCACAGUUGAGUCACGAAGAGUUAAACAUUUUGACACUAAAAUCAGUCCCGCUGCUUAAAGAUUGUGGGAUUCGAGGCUAAAAUAAAAUAAGUAUUAUUGAAAAUAUUUACAGUAUUACCACGCGUUAUAUUGCCACGUGUUAUGUCGCCACGCGUUUGAAAAUUUCUAAAGUUCACUGCCUAAAAUAAUUGCUUUUUCGAUUAUCUUGGAAGGAUAUUUAAAUCAAGAUACUGCACUAAUAUUACGUAUGCCUAAGAACUGUGUUUAAAAUGCAAAGGGUUGAUUUGUACUAUUUUAAACAGUAAAGAGAAUGAAAUAUUAUAACUUUGAAUAAAAUGAUGGUUGAGUGAUUCGUAUACACACGUAUGGUGCUAAUAAUACUUUUUUAACGAGUUCGAAGAAUAAAGAAUUAUCUCAUAUCGUUCCGUAUACUAUCAGAUACAGAUUUAAAUUACGUUGAAGAUAUUAAGUGAAUCGUCUAUUCUUGCAUACACUUGGCGUGACCGAAAAUAUUUUUACAGCGGUUCUAUUUGCGUGAAAGACAACACUGUUUUAACGUAUGUACAAAAUGAUUCGCCACAGACUUGUCUUCUAUGGUUUGGCUAUUUUUUAGGAACUAAUAUCACUAGGGUGUACAUUUUUACGGUGAUGCGAUAUAUAUGUCAAUAAGUAGGAACUUAAAUAGGUGAAUUAAUAGCUCGUUUCUGUCAGGCAACUUGAAAUCGACUUAACAAAAAAGGGAAUACUAAAGUUCGCUCUGUGAAACGACUUUCAAUGAAACGAGCAUUUGCACGGUUUAAUACGAACGAAACAUAGAGAAAGAGAACCUAGGAAAGGAAUGGCCAACAAGGACAAACUGAAGAAAAAAGAUACACUAUCGAGAGCUGCGAUUUAUUUUAUAACUAGCGUUAGGCUUUCUCAUGAAAAAGAAGUAGUCAAUUUAACGUGUAGCGAUGUAAUACAGAAAAAAGAAACAAAAGAAAAAAAAGAAGUUAACACGAACGACGAUCGUAAGAAUAACUCGUUAACUCGUUUACAAAAUACUUUUGACACGAUGCAAUAGCCGUACGUUUUUAUUCUUCGCAGACAGAAUGUUAUCGUAACGAAAUCACGCUUUUAUUCUUUUUUUAACGAAGCGACACAUGAUCUCUAACGUUUGUUUCCUUCUGAGAUGAUGUAUCAACGACACGAUAUAAACUUAAGAGCUUUCAGAACUUGAAGCGUAUUUAUGAAAAGCGUUUAAGCGAUUUGUUUUCGUCGCAACGUUUGUUGUAUACACUUCGUGUCCUCUGCGUAGGAAUGAAUUAUGCUUCCAAGCUAAGAAACGAAAGAAUGUAGAGAAAAAAAAAUGAUUGCAAUGGAGUUUAGCUAUAUGGCUCUGAAUGAGGCUCUAUAGUAAAUGUCAAUUUAGAAUUACAACUAAUUAACCUGUAAAUUUCUAAAUUUCCAAACUUCGAAAUUCUUGAAUCUCCAUAUUUCUAGAUCCUCAGAUUUUCAACGGGCCAUAUAAACGCGAGCCAUGUAGCGGGACUGCACUGUACCGAGUUUUGUUGAAACAAACGGUAGCUCGACGAAAUCAUAGGGUCAAUUUGGAAAUCCGACUUUACACUGUUAACUCGGCUCGUUGUGUAGGGAGAGUCUACUUGUUGUUUUGUACCUGAAAGCCUCUCGUAUCAAUUUCGAUGGUAACAAAAGAUGAAACGAUGAAAGAAACUAUAUAAAAAAAAACUCACUCAGGAAAAUGAAAUUCUAUAGGGUGUAAGGGCACCUUUGAUUCAAUGGAAAGAUAUAUAGAGAAGAGACACGAGUAAUCAGUGCAAAAAAAUAAAAAAUGGAAUCCUAGCUUAAGAGAGAUAAUUAACAAAGAAAAAAAAACAAAAAGAAAAUAUAAUGUUACUCCUAUCAGCUCAAUUUUGUUUUAAAAGUAUGAAAGCAAAAUAACGUUGAAAUUUUACAAGAUGAACGCGUUUUAAACAGAUUGAUAAAUAAUUCUUAUAAGAGAACUCUAUUUGCAUGAAAUCGAUGAUUUAGACCGUUUUUCUCAGUCGCUUCGGGUAUGAAAUCGUUUUUCAAGAUAAAUAUAAAUAUAUAUAUACAUAUGCUUAUAUUAGAACGAAGUGAAGAGAAAGAUAGGUAAUUAUAUGUAAUAUGGUAAACCUCGACGAGUUCAGUGAUGUUAUUAUAUGUUAUAAAUGUGAUUGACAAAUGAUUUUAUCUACUCGAUAGAAAUUUGGUAAUUGGAAAAUUUGAAAGGUUCGGAAUCUAGUAAUUUCAAAUUUUCAAAUUAAGAAAUUAACUACCUGUUAUGUACGAAUAAAAUUAUUUUGUAAACUGACUUUUAUAACAUCUGCGAAAGUCACUGAAAUCAACGAGGUUUCCCUAUUGUACAAUUACUGAAACGAAAACUAACGGAAAAAACAUAGUCUUAAUUUUACACGGUCUCGAUAAACUAUAUGCUAAAGUUGUCACAGCAUUUACUUACGUUUAAACACUUACCCCUAUGUACGAAUAUAUCUCGCACGCUGUUUAACCCGCGUCACUGUCAAUUUUUCAAAUGUGUAGUCACACGCUACUCUCUCUCUCUAUACAUAUAUAUGUAUAUAUAUAUUUUAGAGGGAAAUUUUGAUGUUCGAAUGACGGUGAAACGUCCGCAGAGUCGAUCGUUCGAAACAUUUUAAGAGGCCGUGAUGAUCUCUCCUAAACCGCGUAUUGUGAAGAACUUAUAUUAUAUAUGUAUACAUAACUACUUUGUGAUAUAAAACAAAGUCGAACGAUAGACUGUGUCGGACGGACGUAGAAGACUCUGGAGAGAAACGUGAGGGGAAAAUGUGCUGUGAAUAAUAGAAAUGGAAAUUAUGAAAGAAAGAAAGUGAAAAAUGAAUACGCGUCGAAUCAAAUUUCAUUUGUAAUUUAAGGCUGAUUUAUAUUAUUUAUUCGAAGUAAGCGUUUCUACUAAAAUACAUACAACUACCAGUUCCUUUUAAUUCACUACAUUUGAUAAAAAUUUGAUUCAGAACGAACGUCAGGUUUCUUGCGCCAAUUUUAUAUCGUUCAAUAUUUUUAUACGAGUUUAGAAAAAUUCUACAACAAUUUUUUUCGAUAGAUCGUCAACUAAACUAGUACAUAUUUGACGUUUUUAUUAAAUAGAUUAUUAUUUGUAAUACACGAUACAAACGUGGAAAAAUAACUCGUCUGAAAGAAUACUAUAAAUCAGCUUUGAAACGUUGUUUUGUUGAGCGACGAGGAGGGAUGUCAAUUGUUCACGUCAUCCACCGCAACUGUACAUAAAAAAGUAGUUAGAACGGUUUAUAUCGAGCAAACUGGGGAUGAAGGAACACGCGUUACGUGUAAAGUACGCGUAUUAAUUAGGUCCUAAUUGUUAGGAGUUUACGUGAUUGUUAAACGAGCGAUCACGAUCUUCUGUUUCUGCAAGAAUAUUUUUGCGUUAAAGGGGAACGAACGAUUCACUCGCGUUCCGCACAAUUUUUCGAUCAUGUUACUUAAAUAAUUUUUUUUACGAAUGAUUUUCUCGGUAUUAUACAUUUCGUAGCGAAUCAUGCGUGCGUGUAAGAACAUUUUUCUUUUUAUCAAUUUACCAAACGCGUCCCGUGUCGGAUUGAUUAUCAAUCGUUUGAUACUGUCGAUCAUUUUUUCGAUUUACUUUUAAAGCAAAGAGCAAGUAAAACAUAUUAUAAUUAUAAUUUUAUUAUAAUCAAGCAUUAUGAUGUAAUUAUUAAUGCGGAUUUGCCAUGAAUCUUUAAUUGUACAUGACACGGAACUCGAUCAUGCCAAUAUCUAUUCUCAAUUUCAUUUAUACAUCAUUGUUUCUAUUAUUAUUAUUACUAUUAUUAUUAUUAUUAUUAUUAUUACUAUAUUAUCAUAAAUAUCAUAGCGCUUUGACUAUCAGUUAUACUAGUAUACUCAUCGUUAAUUAGUUUAAUUCCGUUUAUUUGUAGCCUAUUAAAUAUUUAGUCGGGAACGAUUGUUUCUGUUUCUUUUUCCUUUUUCUUUUUUUUGGUUAUAGGAUUUAAUUUAUUGUACACUCGGAUGCAACGUAGGCUUCUUUUAGUUAAGAGUAAGAGGAGAAAUUUUAGGGAAAAUUCUGGGUGAAUCCUACGAGUACCGUAGAAGAUCCUAAAAAGAGAACCCUGGGAAAGUUGUAGAAAGUCUUGAAAAACCCCUAGGACAUUCUUGAAAGAAUCCUAAAAGAACGUUAGGGAGGCCCAAGAAACGAUUCUUGCAGAAUUCUAGAAGAAUCUAAAGAGAGCCUAAUCUAGCAACUUGUCGAACAAAAUGGCGGCAGUUGAGUCACCUGUUCUCUUACAAUUCUUAUCAAUUAAAGGAAGCCUAAUUUGUACGUGACCGUACGUAAAACACAUUCCCAAGCCACAGUUAAAAGGAGCAGAAGCGAAAAGAUAAAACAAACAAAAAAAAGAAAAGAAAGAAGAUAUAUAACAGAGUUUAGAGAGGAUUGCGUUUAAAGUAUUAGGUAGGAAGUUCGAAAAUUAUAGCGACGAGAAUUAAAUUAAAGAAUGUUGUGUACAUAGAUAUUGACUAUUGUAUAUGAUUAAUAUAAACCGCUUAUAGAUGUAAUGUAUUUUUUGUAGGGACCAUAAUAUAUAAACAGAACAAUAUGAGACAUGUUAGAAUGGUACCGAUAAGGGUGAUACAAGUACGAUUAGGGCGAUGUUUCGUGAAUUAAGAAAAGCAAUACGCGUUUGCUUGCGGGAGGAGCUGAGCGUGAAGAGAAGAGUGUCCUGAAAAUUAUGAAUUCAGAGAUAUAUUGUACAAGCUCACUAAACAAAAUUCUAGGUACACGAUAUCGAGUGUUUUCGAGUCUGCGAUCGGCGAUAAACAGUUACAUUUUCUUUGUGAAAUUCUCAGGAAAGACCUGGUUAUCUUUGUGUUCUUUAACACGGUCUUAACUGUGUCUUCUCUGCGAAUCGAAUAAUUUCUUUAAGAACAUUGAAGUUAAUUGCCGUUCAAGGCUGCUUGCGAACGAGGCCAUUAAUGGAAAUCAUUGUAAAUUAACGUGGUUUAAUUGUUCUGUUGUACUAAGAUUGUUUCUCGUUUAUUUAACAUUUUAAAGUUUGUAUAGUUUAUAGUCUUAAAUUUCUUUAUUUAAUGGAAAACAUUACAGUAUAGUAACUAAAUAAUAUUGUACAUUCGGGAGAGACAGCGAUAAAGAUAAUUUGAACGUUUCUAAAGUUUUCGAUUCAAAGACAACUUUGGUAGAAGAAAAACAGCCUUGAACGUGAAAUUCAUCUUCGAACCGUUAACGAAUGAAAUUCCUAGGAAGAGAUACUUCAUUUACAAAGUUAUAGAAUAUAAGUAGUUUCAUAUUCGCAGGACUACAGUUGGUCCCAAAAUAGUAAAAUGAAUUAUGUUGAAGCGUCAGUGACGACUGAAAGCAUUUUAGUCCGACUCCAGCAGUUUAUAAUGCGAUGCCAUUUCAUACAACACAAACAAACAAACAAGCACCCACAUGUACACAGUCGUAUACACCGUACGUCACUUUGUUACGAUUAUUGUAUAUCGAAUAUUGUACGAAUUCUCACAAAAUGAGAUCGCUUAAAUUUAAUCGACGAGAGCAAAUCACCUGAUCGAUGUGUUCGUUCAUCGAGGAGAAACGAUCAUUUUGAAUGAAAUUCAAAUUGAUGGAAAAAAUCACAUCGAUCUCGUUGUUGAUCAGUGUAACACUCGAAAUAAUAUGCCUUAAAAAAAGAAAUGUAAUUCAUAAGGAUCGCUGAUGAUGGUACAAGUGGCGAGCGGAAAUCAAUGGUGACGGACGAUCGUAAUUUGCGGAGACAGAGAAAUAUAUAUAAUAUAUAUAUAUAUAUAUACAUAUAUGCAUAUAUAUGUAUACAUAUAUAAAAUCAUGUUAGGUAUAAGUAAAUCUCGUAUCGUCGAUUGAUUUAUCGUUUACUCGAUAAUUUUUAAACUCUUGCAUAGAAAGUAUGCUGUGCGUGCGUGAACGAAAAGACACACCGUGUUUCGUUUCGUUUUUAGGCAGAACAUUCAUGUUUUCGUAUCGACGCGUGCGAAUCUCUUCCUUAGGUUCGAGAACGAACACCGGGUGAAUCGUUAAAAUAGUUUUUAUUUCAUUCUUCUUCUUUUUCUUUGACCCGGAGAUGGAAAAAACGACGAGCGUCGUCUUUUGCUCAUUCCGCUGGGUUCAAAACUUAACUUUUUUUCCUCUCUCAGAAGUAAGGCACAAACAAUGUAUUUACAAUGAAUAAAUGUUUUGAAAACUGUUA
RNAcentral lists this unclassified non-coding RNA (11567 nucleotides) under Megachile rotundata (alfalfa leafcutting bee). RNAcentral's name for it is "solute carrier organic anion transporter family member 3A1, transcript variant X3". The stretch from base 47 to 118 matches the Rfam family "tRNA". Lineage: Eukaryota; Metazoa; Arthropoda; Insecta; Hymenoptera; Megachilidae. The record is from RNAcentral.